AGCGAACGCUGGCGGCAGGCUUAACACAUGCAAGUCGAGCGGGCCCUUCGGGGUCAGCGGCGGACGGGUGAGUAACGCGUGGGGACGUGCCCUCUGGUCUGGAAUAACCCUGGGAAACUAGGGCUAAUACCGGAUACGCCCUUUUGGGGAAAGGCUUGCUGCCGGAGGAUCGGCCCGCGUCUGAUUAGCUAGUUGGUGGGGUAACGGCCUACCAAGGCGACGAUCAGUAGCUGGUCUGAGAGGAUGAUCAGCCACACUGGGACUGAGACACGGCCCAG
RNAcentral lists this ribosomal RNA (278 nucleotides) under uncultured bacterium. RNAcentral's name for it is "partial 16S ribosomal RNA". It matches the Rfam family "Bacterial small subunit ribosomal RNA", at positions 29 to 334 of the family's 1533-position model. The record is from RNAcentral.